UGGGGAAUAUUGGACAAUGGGCGCAAGCCUGAUCCAGCCAUGCCGCGUGAGUGAUGAAGGCCUUAGGGUUGUAAAGCUCUUUCGCCGACGAAGAUAAUGACGGUAGUCGGAGAAGAAGCCCCGGCUAACUUCGUGCCAGCAGCCGCGGUAAUACGAAGGGGGCUAGCGUUGUUCGGAAUCACUGGGCGUAAAGCGCACGUAGGCGGAUUGUUAAGUCAGGGGUGAAAGCCUGGAGCUCAACUCCAGAACUGCCCUUGAUACUGGCAAUCUCGAGUCCGGAAGAGGUAAGUGGAACUGCGAGUGUAGAGGUGAAAUUCGUAGAUAUUCGCAAGAACACCAGUGGCGAAGGCGGCUUACUGGUCCGGUACUGACGCUGAGGUGCGAAAAGCGUGGGGAGCAAAACAGGAUUAGAUACCCUGGUAGUCCACGCCGUAAAACGAUGGAGGCUAGCCGUUGGCGAGCAUGCUCGUCAGUGGCGCAGCUAACGCAUUAAGCCUCCCGCCUGGGGAGUACGGUCGCAAGAUUAAAAACUUAAAGGAAUUGACGGGGUCAUAGCUGUUUCC
Molecule: ribosomal RNA, 563 nt
Filed under: uncultured bacterium
Lineage: Bacteria
Description: partial 16S ribosomal RNA
Rfam family: Bacterial small subunit ribosomal RNA
Source: RNAcentral